GAAAUAAUUACAUAAAAUUAUUUUAAAAAUCAACAACUAAAUUUGAACCUUGUCGAAUUAAGCCGAAACUGAAAAAUCAGUAACUGUACCUAAUCGAAACCAAAAUAAUGAAAAACUUAACCGGAUUCAUACUGAAAUUUUAGUUCAGUUUCAAUUUAUAAGCAAAUCCCGAACUGAACUGAAACUAAACACCCAUUUCACUAAUGAGAACUGAUGAUAGGUAUAAUUAUAUGAUUUUCAAAAAUCUAAAAUUUAAUUAGUAAUUUUUUUAGUUUAGUAUAGAAUUAUAAAUUUUUUUAAAUUUUAAGUUUUUUUUUCUUUUUUAUUUUUCCUUUUAAUAUAUGUUAUUUUGCCAUUCAGUUUAAGCGCUUCCUUUUUUGUUGUAACUAAGACUUAGAAGGAGUAGUUAGUUAUAGAAGAAAUAAA
RNAcentral lists this unclassified non-coding RNA (426 nucleotides) under Hevea brasiliensis (rubber tree). Lineage: Eukaryota; Viridiplantae; Streptophyta; Magnoliopsida; Malpighiales; Euphorbiaceae. The record is from RNAcentral.